GACGAACGCUGGCGGCGUGCUUAACACAUGCAAGUCGAACGGGCCCGCGCCUUUUUUUGGGGGCGGGUUGAGUGGCGAACGGGUGAGUAUCACGUGAGUAACCUGCCCUCCUCUCCUGGAUAACCGCUUGAGAGGGCGGCUAAUACGGGGUGGUCCGGUUGGUCCGCAUGGGCCGGCUGGGAUAGUUUCAUCUUCGGGUGUUUCGGUGGGGGAUGGGCUCGCGGCCUAUCAGCUUGUUGGUGGGGUGAUGGCCCACCAAGGCGGUGACGGGUAGCCGGCCUGAGAGGGUGGGCGGCCACACUGGGACUGAGACACGGCCCCAGACUCCUGCGGGAGGCAGCAGUGGGGGGUAUUGCACAAUGGGCGGAAGCCUGAUGCAGCGACGUCGCGUGAGGGAUGGAGGCCUUCGGGUUGUGAACCUCUGUUCCCGGUGGUGAAGGCCCCGCCCCUGGUGGUGGGGUUGACGGUAGCCGGGUAUGAAGCGCCGGCUAACUACGUGCCAGCAGCCGCGGUAAUACGUAGGGCCCAAGCGUUGUCCGGAAUUAUUGGGCGUAAAGGGCUUGUAGGCGGCCGGCCGCGUCCGUCGUGAAAUCCUCCGGCUCAACCGGGGGCUUGCGGUGGGUACGGGUCGGCUGGAGUGCGGCAGGGGAGGCUGGAACUCCUGGUGUAGCGGUGGAAUGCGCAGAUAUCAGGAGGAACACCGGUGGCGAAGGCGGGUCUCUGGGCCGUUACUGACGCUGAGGAGCGAAAGCGUGGGGAGCGAACAGGAUUAGAUACCCUGGUAGUCCACGCCGUAAACGUUGGGCACUAGGUGUGGGGCGUUCCCGUUCGAGGGGGCUCCGCGCCGUAGCUAACGCAUUAAGUGCCCCGCCUGGGGAGUACGGCCGCAAGGCUAAAACUCAAAGGAAUUGACGGGGGCCCGCACAAGCGGCGGAGCAUGCGGAUUAAUUCGAUGCACGCGAAGACCUACCAGGCUGACAUGGGGCGUGCUCGAACGCGUUCCUUCGGCCCCCAGUGUCUG
Molecule: ribosomal RNA, 1021 nt
Filed under: Actinomyces sp. oral taxon 525
Lineage: Bacteria; Bacillati; Actinomycetota; Actinomycetes; Actinomycetales; Actinomycetaceae
Description: bacterial SSU rRNA
Rfam family: Bacterial small subunit ribosomal RNA
Source: RNAcentral